UGAGGAAUAUUGGGUCAAUGGGCGGAAGCCUGAACCAGCCAAGUAGCGUGCAGGACGACGGCCCUAUGGGUUGUAAACUGCUUUUAUGCGGGGAUAAAGUGGGCCACGCGUGGCCUUUUGCAGGUACCGCAUGAAUAAGGACCGGCUAAUUCCGUGCCAGCAGCCGCGGUAAUACGGAAGGUCCGGGCGUUAUCCGGAUUUAUUGGGUUUAAAGGGAGCGUAGGCCGGAGAUUAAGCGUGUUGUGAAAUGUAGAUGCUCAACAUCUGCACUGCAGCGCGAACUGGUUUCCUUGAGUACGCACAAAGUGGGCGGAAUUCGUGGUGUAGCGGUGAAAUGCUUAGAUAUCACGAAGAACUCCGAUUGCGAAGGCAGCUCACUGGAGCGCAACUGACGCUGAAGCUCGAAAGUGCGGGUAUCGAACAGGAUUAGAUACCCUGGUAGU
This 443-nucleotide ribosomal RNA is filed under the name uncultured Prevotella sp. RNAcentral describes it as "bacterial SSU rRNA". It matches the Rfam family "Bacterial small subunit ribosomal RNA", at positions 355 to 794 of the family's 1533-position model. Lineage: Bacteria; Pseudomonadati; Bacteroidota; Bacteroidia; Bacteroidales; Prevotellaceae. The record is from RNAcentral.